UGUACGUCUACCAUUUUCCACGCAUUUAUAUCUAGGCUAUAAGGUGAGGAUGAGAUUAAACGAGAAGAUCCGUGUAGAAAUGAGUGACAGCUCGUAGAUGUCAUAUUGAUAUUAUACACAGCCAACAUAAUAAUAUACAGAUACAAGACAAGUAAGAUGAUCUGGAAUUACAUCGUUUUAAUCUCUGUUUACCAGCCUUCUCAUCCGGUAAUGAACGAACGAAGAAGGUUCUACUAAUCUCCAUGGAUGAAUUUAGAUGGGAUUAUCUAGAUAUGGUUCUAGAUUUACCCAACAUCAACAAGAUGGCGGGUAAUGGGGUGAAAUUGCAGUAUGUAAACAACACUUUUAUCACAACCACUUUUGCUACACAUUACUCCAUAGCAACGGGAUUGUGGGAAGAGCACCAUGGAAUUGUUGGUAAUCAAAUGUAUGAUCCCGUGUUUAACGAGGAAUUUAGUUAUGGUCCAAAUAUAGAAAAAUGGUGGAACGGGGGAGAACCAAUCUGGAUAACAGCAACUAAAC
Long non-coding RNA from Patella vulgata (common limpet), 522 nucleotides. RefSeq lists it as uncharacterized. NCBI's taxonomy places the organism in Eukaryota, Metazoa, Mollusca, Gastropoda, Patellidae. The record is from RefSeq and is a predicted model, not a curated record. The transcript has 3 exons.